RNAcentral lists this long non-coding RNA (208 nucleotides) under Physcomitrium patens. RNAcentral describes it as "long non-coding RNA (PPAT_LNC004509)". The record is from RNAcentral. Lineage: Eukaryota; Viridiplantae; Streptophyta; Bryopsida; Funariales; Funariaceae.
AAGAACUUCAAAAAAUACUCAAGCAAAUGUGAGUGGGCCCAUAACCUAUUGAAGAAAAGAAAUCUAAAAGCUCAAACACUUAGUAUCAACAAAGAUUGUAGUCUAAGAGAAGUGUCUAGAAAAAUGAUUCUUUCUUCCAACACUCUUUACUUAUAUGUGGUGGUUUGCUCACUAACAAGGCAAAUUUUAUCCUUUUGAUAUCACAUCC